This 253-nucleotide ribosomal RNA is filed under the name uncultured bacterium. Its description in RNAcentral is "partial 16S ribosomal RNA". It matches the Rfam family "Bacterial small subunit ribosomal RNA", at positions 524 to 776 of the family's 1533-position model. The record is from RNAcentral.
UACGGGGGGGGCAAGCGUUGUUCGGAAUUACUGGGCGUAAAGGGCUCGUAGGCGGCCAACUAAGUCAGACGUGAAAUCCCUCGGCUUAACCGGGGAACUGCGUCUGAUACUGGAUGGCUUGAGGUUGGGAGAGGGAUGCGGAAUUCCAGGUGUAGCGGUGAAAUGCGCAGAUAUCAGGAAGAACACCAAUGGCGAAAGCAGCUUUCUGGGACGGUACUGACGCUGAGACGCGAAAGCGUGGGGAGCGAACAGG